GUGGGGAAUAUUGGGCAAUGGGGGCAACCCUGACCCAGCGACGCCGCGUGAGGGAAGACGGCCUUCGGGUUGUAAACCUCUUUUGUACGGGAAGAAGGAAGUGACGGUACUGUACGAAUAAGUCCCGGCUAACUACGUGCCAGCAGCCGCGGUAAUACGUAGGGGACGAGCGUUGUCCGGAAUUACUGGGCGUAAAGGGCGCGCAGGCUGUGCUGCAAGUCAGCUGUGAAAUGUCUGGGCUUAACCCGGGCAUGCGGUUGAGACUGCAGUGCUGGAGUGCUGUAGAGGCAAGUGGAAUUCCCAGUGUAGCGGUGAAAUGCGUAGAUAUUGGGAAGAACACCGGUGGCGAAGGCGACUUGCUGGGCAGCAACUGACGCUGAGGCGCGAAAGCCAGGGGAGCAAACGGGAUUAGAUACCCGAGUAGUCC
This 427-nucleotide ribosomal RNA is filed under the name uncultured bacterium. Its description in RNAcentral is "partial 16S ribosomal RNA". It matches the Rfam family "Bacterial small subunit ribosomal RNA", at positions 354 to 796 of the family's 1533-position model. The record is from RNAcentral.